This 380-nucleotide ribosomal RNA is filed under the name uncultured organism. RNAcentral's name for it is "bacterial LSU rRNA". It matches the Rfam family "Bacterial large subunit ribosomal RNA", at positions 2108 to 2487 of the family's 2925-position model. The record is from RNAcentral.
AAACUGGAAGGGUUUCGGCUGCGCAUGUGCAGGAUAGGUGGGAGGCUUUGAAGCGGAGGCGCCAGCCUUCGUGGAGUCAACCUUGACAUACCACCCUUGUUCAGUUGAAAUUCUAACCUCGUGCCCUGAAUCGGGUGCAGGAACAGUGCCAGGGGGCCAGUUUGACUGGGGCGGUCGCCUCCCAAACAGUAACGGAGGCACGCAAAGGUUCCCUCAGCAUGGUCGGUAAUCAUGCGUCGAGUGCAAAGGCAUAAGGGAGCUUAACUGCAAGACAAACAAGUCGAGCAGAUGCGAAAGCAGGUCUUAGUGAUCCGGCGGUUGGAAAUGGAACUGCCGUCGCUCAAUGGAUAAAAGGUACUCUAGGGAAAACAAGGCUGAAA